UACGGGGGGAGCAAGCGUUGUUCGGAUUUACUGUGCGUAAAGGGCGCGUAGGCGGUCAGCACAAGUCAGUUGUGAAAUCUCCGGGCUUAACUCGGAAAGGUCAACUGAUACUGUGCGACUAGAGUGCAGAAGGGGCAACUGGAAUUCUCGGUGUAGCGGUGAAAUGCGUAGAUAUCGAGAGGAACACCUGCGGCGAAGGCGGGUUGCUGGGCUGACACUGACGCUGAGGCGCGAAAGCCAGGGGAGCGAACGGG
Molecule: ribosomal RNA, 254 nt
Filed under: uncultured bacterium
Lineage: Bacteria
Description: partial 16S ribosomal RNA
Rfam family: Bacterial small subunit ribosomal RNA
Source: RNAcentral